CAGCCGCACAUCCACAUACGUACGCCGGAACAUACGACGUCCCCCCCCCGUAUCCCCCAUCCGCUCUUUUCUUCCUUCGGCAGGCCCCGCCUGUCACUGGGGUCGUUCAUUGGGGUAGCUUUACCUAGCACAACACGAAUAUGCAAGUCGCAACCAUGCAACCUGUCAUGGAGACGCUUGGCGCCCUGUACGCCAACAUGGAGAACGUGUCCCCAGCCACGCGCAAGCUCGUGGAGCGCUACAUCAGCGGCGAUGGCGUUAUCGUUGGCUGGGGCUUCUGCCGCAAUGGCGAGCUCGGCACAAACUUCCGCUACAACCUGGUGACGCCGAUGAUGAUUGGCGGCCAUGACAAGCCGAUCCGCAUGGCCUGCGGCGGUCUCUCGUCUGUUUGGCUCGGCGUGCGCAACAUCUUGAUGGCCAUGGGCGGCGGCAUGUGGGGUGAGCUCGGCGUUGGAAACCCGCGCUUCUGCCCGCGUGUGAUCGCGAACGAGGCGAACAUGCCCAUCUGCCCUGGACAGGUAGACGUCAUUCCCUUCACGCAGGACGAUGUAGUCGUGGAUGUCGCGGCUGGAUCUGCCUUCUAUGCGUGCGUGUCCCUGAAGGGUAAUGUCUUCACAUGGGGCGCAAACAACUGCGGGCAGUGCCACCAGGAUCUUAACAACACGUGCUGCGGCUAUGGGCAGCUGCGCGUUGUGCCAGGCGAGAGCGUAGUGGAAGUGGCGUGCUCCAACUACAGUGUGUUGGCGCGGACCAUAUCGGGCGCGGUCUACGGUUGGGGUGAGGUGACGCUGCUCGGCGACCGCGACACCGUGGCGGAGAAGUUGGCUGCCGCGGGUUUAGAGUUGGUGCAAUCUCCGCAGUCAGAGUCCCGAGUAGUGGCGCGCGUGCCGGUGCGCAUCGACAGCCUCGAUGGCAAGAACAUCAAGCUCCUCUCUAGCGGCCCCUGGCACUACGCGGCAGUGUCGGCGGACGGCUCUGUCUACACGUGGGGCAUAGGCAACAGCGGCCGUCUUGGCCACGGUGACCAGGAUGACCACCUGUCGCCGGAGGUGGUGACGGCCAUGAAGGGUAAGUGUGUUGUCGACGUCGCCUGCGGCUCCUUCCACACCGUCUUCAUUGCUGACGACGGCAACGCCUACGCCUGCGGCGAUAACCAGGGCGGCCAGUGCGGCGUAGUGGGCGAGUACUCGGUGCCGGUGCCGACAAAGAUGAACAUCACGGGUGGGCGCAAGGUGAUUCACGCGAGCUGCGGCCGCAUGCACACGACGCUCCUGCUGAACAACGGCGACGUCGUCGUCUACGGAACAGGGUUGGGCCUGGGUGUCGGUAUUGGCUACGGCAUGCGCAUGGUGCGCUGCCAGGCGAUCUUGGAGAACUACACCACCCUGUGGACAAAGAGCGGGCCAACGCACGGGCUAUCUCUGACGAUCCCGAAGAACACAACGAUGCUUGUCCUCGGUGUUCCCCACCGCGGCGUACCCGUCUCGGUCACCUCCGUUGGGCUCAAGGAGGGCAUCUUGUCCUGCGGCGUUGGCGCGGGCUUUACUCUGAUGAUUAGUCGGCGCGGCAGCUGCUACUCCUUCGGCGUAGGCGGGUGGGGGCAGCUCGGCUUUGACACGGCGCAGGCGAAGCACUUUACGCAGGACCGUGUUCCCGUGUACCCGCAGGCGACGCGCAUCGGCUUCUUUUCCCGCACCAUCAUCACGUCCGUCGCGGCCGGCUUCUCUUUUUCAAUGGCCAUCACUGAGGGGGAGCGGGUCUUCGCUUGGGGCAACAACAGCUUUGCCCAGUGCGGCCUCGGCGUUGACCCGAAGAAGUACCAGCGCAUCUCGCAACCUCGCGAGAUUACUUGGCUUGCCGACAAGGAGAUCAUCCAGGUGUCAUGUGGCAGCUACUUCGCACUAGCUCUCAGCGCGUCCGGCCAGGUGUACAGCUGGGGCACGAUCGAAUGCUGUGGCGUAGGACUGGAGCCGGAUCCGAAGGUCGUUCCGGCCCACAUGAUAAUGCGCAACAUCUCUGGCGAAACCCGUGGUGUCGUGCUGUCGCCGCUGCUCAUCGACAGUCUCAAGGGUAUCAUUCAAGUCGCCGCCGCCGGCUGGCACGGGAUGGCGCUCAACGCCAUUGGCGAGAUCUACGCCUGGGGCAUCGGGACAGGUGGGCGCCUGGGCACGGGUGACUGCGAGCACUACUACACCCCGAUCCGCAUCACACACGGCGCCUUCUUCACCCGCAUCGGCUGCGGCUGCUACACAAGUUACGGCAUCGACGACAACGCGAGGCUGUAUGUGUGGGGCGUCAACGAUAAGAACCAGCUUGACACGUUGGGUAGCAAGGUGGUGACGCCGACGCCGGUGCUGGAGAAUGUGCGGGAAGCGUGCCUCGGCAAGUACUUCUCGCUGGCGCUUACCUACAAUAACACGUUCCAUUUCUCCGGGGUGAUGGAGUUCGACUCCACCUCAUACGCAAGUAGGUCCUUCAAUGAUGUCGACAGCUUGCCGGAGAAGCUGAAGCCAGAGAACAUACAAGCAGAGCACUUACGUGGGCUGAAGCUGUUUGGCGGUCUGGAGCAUGUCAUUGCGCUGCUCGAGAAGGACCCGAUUCCAGAGGCCGUCGUCACGGAGGCAAUAGUGGGGAUGCGGGAGCAGCCCGAACGACUGGUGCGCAAAUACGCCGCGCAGGUGCGGUGAUGGUGUGAAAACAUGGACACGCCCCACCCAACGAAGAGUCUCACAAGCAGGUAAGCGGUGUGGAGAAGAGAAGAAAGCCGAUCGAGAGUGGGCCGCCGUCGCCGCCGCCGCCGCCGCCUCCGCCUGUGCGCACGUGUGUGUGCAUCACCACGCCAUGCGAAGGGGCGUAGAGCAGUCCAGCAACAAUGUCGUCGUCUUUUUCAUUUGCCGUCUUCCUUGCACUCGUUUGUGCGCGUCUUUCCAGGCCCUCUUUCCCUUCCCCUCCUCCAUUCUCACAUCUCCCCCGCCAUCCCUGUGUCCCUGCCCCUGCCUCUUGUUCCUACACGUGUGCAUGCGCAUACGCUGCUGAUCUGUUCUUGUAUUUGCUCACCAUCAUUAUGUUUGCUUUGCGUUGGUCUUGCUCCCCCUCCCUCCCCACAUAUCACGUGCAUCCUCAUCUUUUCCGCCUUUUUUUCUACGUCUCUGCAUCUCUCGUGUUCUCUGUAUGUGUUGCCCUCCUCCCUCUUCUCUCUUCUCUCUUUUCUCGCCGGACGUGGCGCAGGCCCCAUGCAUACUCGCGCUCCCCCUUUCGUCGCUCCGUCUGUGGGUGCGUCGGCCAUUCUAUGUGUUUUGCACCCCCCCACACAUUCGUCCUUCCUUUUCUUGUUCUCCAGUGUGCCUUAGUGUUUUUGCGUAUUUCCUUCCUUGUGUGUUCGGUGGUGGUGUCCAUCAUGGCAAGAGGGGGUAAGUGGACGCACACACACACACACACACACAUCAGAGUGUUGUGCCAGCAGGGUCCAGUGCACCCUCCCCCCCCUCUGCGCGGGAGGGAGCCGAUCAGACUCCACCCCUCCCUCCUCUAUCCCCCUGCCAAAAAUGCCGAACCGCUUCUGGUGGCGGCAGACUCAAGCGCCCACGACGUAGCGAAGCUAGAGCGAUGCAUGGCUGCUGAUGUCUGUGGACAGGUCCUGGGCGGCGCUGCGUCGGGGCGACCUGCGACCGUGAGCUCGGUUGUGCCAUCCAUGUGACGGGCGGCGUGCCAGCGUGACUCGAGCGCAUCACAGCCGACCCUCACACUGCCCACUGGCAUGUGUGCGUGUGUGUGUGGGUGUGGGUGUGUGGGGCCUGCACCACCGCGAGGGGGACGCACCAGUCGCCAACCGGCACAAUGCGGGCGACUGCGAGGCGGGUGUGGGUAGCGUUUGGUGCGCGGGCCCUGCUCUCAGAUGAUGGUGUCGGCGCGUUGCCGUGCUGGCUUGUGUGCGCGGCUGCUUCGCACGACGGGAGGUGGGCCUGUGACGGGCCGGGGGCAGAGCGGAGCGGAGCGCAUGCUGCACGGCAGAGAAAUGGACACGGUGACGAGCGUAGAAAGAAGCCUUCUCGCUUAUUGUGCGAAGUCCUUGUUCUGCGCUAACUCCUCUAGGCUCGCGUUUCUCUUGAUUUGCUUGUGCCCGUCCUCCCGUGCCCCUUCGUCGUUUGUGUGCCCCUCUCUAGUGUGUGUUGGCGUGCAGCGUGGCGGGCAAAAAAAAAAACGUGCUGGCCAUCGUCACACCAACCCAAUGCACGACUCGUAAGGGGCUGUGCCAGCGAAGGGCACGGCACGGCGUGAUGAGGACAAACGAAAAGGCAUUUCACAGGAAAGAGAGAGAACAAGCCGUGCUGCAGGCGCAGAUGCGAGCCAUCUCUAUCCCUCUGUCUCCCCCUCCCGGACGUCGCACGCGCACAGGCGCAGAAGGAUCAGACAGGUGUGCACCCACACCCAGCCACCCACACAUUCGACGUGUCCCGCUCUCGCUACGUCGGACCCCCCCUCCACCUCCAUUUGUUCCUCUUUUACUUGGUUCUCAUGAGUAACAUGUGGCGGAUGAUGUGUAGGGGACAUAUGCCCCUCUCCUUCUCGUGCAUAUUGUUUUUUUUUUCGUCUGCUGUCGUUGGUGUGUCUCCCCUGUGGCUGUGAGCAAUUGGAUCUCUUUCCCUCUCUCUCCAUGUGUGUGUUGCUGCCGUGUCCACGCUGUUGGUGGUUUGGUAUCGAUGUACGUUUGGGCACACUUCCCUGUACCUCCCUGCACCUCUGCGCACCUCCCUCCACCUUUUUCUUCCUCCGUUAC
Molecule: unclassified non-coding RNA, 4777 nt
Filed under: Leishmania donovani
Lineage: Eukaryota; Euglenozoa; Kinetoplastea; Trypanosomatida; Trypanosomatidae
Description: gene:LdHU3.26.0940(CDS-product:Regulator_of_chrom osome_condensation_(RCC1)_repeat_putative)
Source: RNAcentral